This 253-nucleotide ribosomal RNA is filed under the name uncultured bacterium. Its description in RNAcentral is "partial 16S ribosomal RNA". It matches the Rfam family "Bacterial small subunit ribosomal RNA", at positions 524 to 776 of the family's 1533-position model. The record is from RNAcentral.
UACGUAGGGGGCAAGCGUUGUCCGGAUUUAUUGGGCGUAAAGAGCGUGUAGGCGGCCUGAAAGGUCAGCUGUGAAAACUCGAGGCUCAACCUCGAGACGUCGGUUGAAACCAUCUGGCUAGAGUCCGGAAGAGGAGUGUGGAAUUCCCGGUGUAGCGGUGAAAUGCGCAGAUAUCGGGAAGAACACCCGUGGCGAAGGCGGCUACCUGGACCGAUUCUGACGCUGAUGCGCGAAAGCGUGGGUAGCAAACAGG